RNAcentral lists this ribosomal RNA (595 nucleotides) under uncultured euryarchaeote. Its description in RNAcentral is "bacterial SSU rRNA". It matches the Rfam family "Archaeal small subunit ribosomal RNA", at positions 536 to 1129 of the family's 1478-position model. Lineage: Archaea; Methanobacteriati; Methanobacteriota. The record is from RNAcentral.
AGUUCCUGGUCAAAGCUGGCAGCUUAACUGUCAGUUCGCUAGGAAUACUAUCUUACUAGAGGGUGGGAAAGGUCCGAGGUACUCCAGGGGUAGCGGUGAAAUGCGAUAAUCCUUGGGGGACCACCAGUGGCGAAGGCGUCAGACUGGAACACGCCUGACGGUGAGGGACGAAAGCCAGGGGAGCGAACGGGAUUAGAUACCCCGGUAGUCCUGGCUGUAAACGUUGCGUGCUAGGUGUUGGUAAGGCUCGGAGCUGUAUCAGUGCCAAAGGGAAACUGUUAAGCGCGCCGCCUGGGAAGUACGCUCGCAAGAGUGAAACGUAAAGGAAUUGGCGGGGGAGCACCACAAGGGGUGAAGCCUGCGGUUCAAUUGGGCUCAACGCCGGGAAACUUACCGAGGGCGACAGCAGAGUGAAGGUCAGGCUGACGACCUUACCAGACAAGCUGAGCGGAGGUGCAUGGCCGUCGCCAGUUCGUGCCGUGAGGUAUCCUGUUAAGUCAGGCAACGAACGAGACCCACAUGUUUAAUUGCCAGCAAUAGCCUACGGGUUAGUUGGGAACGUUAAACAGUCUGCCAUCGUACAGAUGGAGGAAGG